AGGCAUCGCACAAUGGAAGUGCGCAGAAUGUCAACUUGUAUAACCCAGCUGGAGGUUUGCAGACAAAUAGAGAGGCAUGGUCCAAGGAACAGGAAGUGGAGAAAGGCAU
This is a non-coding RNA of Taeniopygia guttata (zebra finch), 109 nucleotides long. The record is from RefSeq and is a predicted model, not a curated record. Lineage: Eukaryota; Metazoa; Chordata; Aves; Passeriformes; Estrildidae.